Long non-coding RNA from Gopherus evgoodei (Goodes thornscrub tortoise), 784 nucleotides. RefSeq lists it as uncharacterized. The transcript is spliced from 3 exons. NCBI's taxonomy places the organism in Eukaryota, Metazoa, Chordata, Testudines, Testudinidae. The record is from RefSeq and is a predicted model, not a curated record.
AAAAGGCACCUCGCUAAAACAAUUGUCUCUGGGAUGUUUUCUCUUCAGGUUUUUCAGUUGUUUCUGAGUCCUGGUUGUAGAACUGUUCAUAUCAUCUUUGGGAUCCCUUGCAGCUGAAGCAGAAAUUACAUGCUUCUCAGCAGAAGGCAACUCUGUUCCUGACUCACUGCGGAGGCUUUGCUGACCCAAGCGGAGGCAGAGAAAUACCUUGCAGAAGUUCAAGCCCAGGAGCAGCAAUGUUGAGCACAAAAGGAGAUGAGAACGAUAUUUAAAAGAUGAAACGCUGCAGCUGAAGAGAAGGCACUUGUGACUGACAACUAAAUUUCUUCUCCACAGCCUGCCAUCAAACCCCCAUCUGGAAUUUUAGAGAUGACAAAAGGGAGCUUUCUUUGCCAUUGUAGUUAAUAGCAAUGUGACUGCUCUUAGCACAAGUGGAAAAGAAUCACUUUGAAAGUAAGAUGAAGGUAGACAGAAUAACUAUGGUGAGAGAAAUCAUCAUACAAGAAAAUAGACAUCUGACGCAUGAAAGGAAUUAAAUGAAGCACCAGCUGAAAGAAGGAAUGAAGGGAAGUUCUAAAUUGAAAGAAAAAGAAGUAUCUCAACGAUGCAAAGAGGCAGCACUGAAGAGGCUUUAGAGAAAGUUACCAUGCCUAAGUAUGAGGCCAAAAGGGGGAAUGUUUACUGGAAUGUGACAGAAGAGAAGAGGAGAGAAUGUGAGUUAUGGAUGAACACACAAUGUUCCUGAGAUCUCAAGAGGAGAAAACAGACAGAUAAAAUAAAUUAG